RNAcentral lists this ribosomal RNA (883 nucleotides) under uncultured Chloroflexota bacterium. Its description in RNAcentral is "bacterial SSU rRNA". It matches the Rfam family "Bacterial small subunit ribosomal RNA", at positions 335 to 1247 of the family's 1533-position model. The record is from RNAcentral. Lineage: Bacteria; Bacillati; Chloroflexota.
ACUCCUACGGGAGGCAGCAGUAGGGAAUAUUGCACAAUGGGCGAAAGCCUGAUGCAGCAACGCCGCGUGCGCGAAGAAGGCCUUCGGGUUGUAAAGCGCUUUUCGGGGAGAAGAGAAAGGACGGUAUCCCCGGAAUAAGGAUCGGCUAACUACGUGCCAGCAGCCGCGGUAAAACGUAGGAUCCGAGCGUUAUCCGAAUUCACUGGGCGUAAAGCGCGUGUAGGCGGUUCGGUAAGUUGGAUGUGAAAGCUCCCGGCUCAACUGGGAGAGGACGUUCAAAACUGUUGGACUAGAGGGCGGAAGAGGGAGGUGGAAUUCCCGGUGUAGUGGUGAAAUGCGUAGAUAUCGGGAGGAACACCAGUGGCGAAGGCGGCCUCCUGGGCCGCACCUGACGCUCAGACGCGAAAGCUAGGGUAGCAAACGGGAUUAGAAACCCCGGUAGUCCUAGCCGUAAACGAUGUAGACUUGGUGUUGGUGGGGUAAAAGCCAUCAGUGCCGGAGCAAACGCGAUAAGUCUACCGCCUGGGGACUACGACCGCAAGGUUAAAACUCAAAGGAAUUGACGGGGACCCGCACAAGCAGCGGAGCGUGUGGUUUAAUUCGAUGCAACGCGAAGAACCUUACCCGGGCUUGACAUGCGAGUGGUAGGGAAGUGAAAGCGGACCGACCCUUCGGGGAGUUCGCACAGGUGCUGCAUGGCUGUCGUCAGCUCGUGCCGUGAGGUGUCCGGUUAAGUCCGGUAACGAGCGCAACCCUUGCUGUAUGUUACAAGUGUCAUACGGGACUGCCGGUAUAAAGCCGGAGGAAGGUGGGGAUGACGUCAAGUCAGCAUGGCCUUUAUGUCCGGGGCUACACACACGCUACAAUGGUCAGUACAAUAGGU